GUCUACGGCCAUACCACCCUGAACGCACCCGAUCUUGUUUGAUCUUGGAAGCUAAGCAGGGUCGGGCCUGGUUAGUACUUGGAUGGGAGAAUACUGCCGCUAGAUC
RNAcentral lists this ribosomal RNA (106 nucleotides) under Pongo abelii (Sumatran orangutan). The record is from RNAcentral. Lineage: Eukaryota; Metazoa; Chordata; Mammalia; Primates; Hominidae.